Non-coding RNA from Oncorhynchus gorbuscha (pink salmon), 658 nucleotides. The record is from the annotation of a RefSeq genome assembly. Lineage: Eukaryota; Metazoa; Chordata; Actinopteri; Salmoniformes; Salmonidae.
AGUUGAACACUUCAUGACUGAGAGCUGUCCUUCAUGACAACAGAACCCACAACAACGAUGACUUUUAUCACCAUUUUUAUCUGGACACUUGCUUUCUGCUUCAAGGAAUCUAGAGGACAAAUCACAGUGACUCAGACACCUACAGUGAAAACUGUUCUUGCCGGACAGCCAGUCUCUAUGAACUGUAAAGCCAGCAGUGAUGUGUAUCCUGAUUGUUGGAGUUCAGGUAAACCAUGUUUAGCCUGGUAUCAACAGAAACCUGGAGAAACUCCUAAACUACUGGUCUACUAUGGAAGCACCCUCUUCUCUGGGACUCCAUCUAGAUUCAGUGGCAGUGGAUCUGGGAGUGACUUCACUCUGACCAUCAGUGGAGUCCAGGCUGAAGAUGCAGGAGAUUACUACUGUCAGAGUUUCCACAGUGGUCCAGUGUUCACACAGUGAUACAGAGUCGUACUAAAACCUCCCUCAGUCAGACUGCACAGUGACUGUACUGAUACAGCUGGGACCUACUGCAGGUGAUGAGGGGAAGAAACAGUGACAUGGAACACUGAUCAGUAGAUGCGGUCAACUGUGGCAUGACAAUAUGGUUAGAUAGCAAUCAUUCUAUCAAGGCGAGACCCAGAUGUAGACACAAGAGGCAGAUGGUUGGAGUCUUACA